RNAcentral lists this ribosomal RNA (271 nucleotides) under uncultured archaeon. RNAcentral's name for it is "partial 16S ribosomal RNA". It matches the Rfam family "Archaeal small subunit ribosomal RNA", at positions 477 to 747 of the family's 1478-position model. The record is from RNAcentral.
CAGCGUCCCGAGUGGCGAUCCUGUUUAUUUGGCCUAAAGCGUCCGUAGCUGGUUUUGUAAAUCUUUUGUGAAAUUGUUCAGCUUAACUGAACAGCGCGCAGGAGAGACUGCAUGACUAGGGACCGGGAGGAGUCAGAAAUAUAUCGGGGGGAGCGGUAAAAUGCUAUAAUCCUCGAUAGAUUACCUGUGGCGAAGGCGUCUGACUAGAACGGGUCCGACAGUGAGGGACGAAAGCUAGGGGAGCAAACCGGAUUAGAGACCCGAGUAGUCC